Molecule: ribosomal RNA, 318 nt
Filed under: thelephoroid fungal sp. MFC-11
Lineage: Eukaryota; Fungi; Basidiomycota; Agaricomycetes; Thelephorales; Thelephoraceae
Description: partial large subunit ribosomal RNA
Rfam family: Bacterial large subunit ribosomal RNA
Source: RNAcentral
NNGUGUCACAAAUCGGAGNCCCGACUGUNUACUAAAACACAUUCCAGAGCAAUGANGUANAUCAUAGUAUUCUGGAUGAAAUUUGCCCAAUGCCAGUAAUCAUAAAAUAGGUAAUGGGACACUGUUACUCAUUGNAAGUCUGGUUAAUAGCGGUCUUAACUAUGAGGAUCCUAAGGUAGCAAAUCAUCUGNCCAGUAAAUGUGGUCUGGAAUCAAUAGUGUANCGAUGGUCUCACUGNNCUCUACAACUUGCUCAGUGAAAUUGAAUUAGCCGUGACAGAUNCGGGUGCUCCAGGUGGACGGGAAGACCUAUGUAGUU